This 8391-nucleotide long non-coding RNA is filed under the name Homo sapiens (human). RNAcentral's name for it is "non-protein coding LINC02334:13". Lineage: Eukaryota; Metazoa; Chordata; Mammalia; Primates; Hominidae. The record is from RNAcentral.
AAACCCCCCUGUGCAAGUUACCUUAUCUGUGCCUGUUGGCUAUUCUUUGGUUUGAAAGAAUUCUUCCAAGGAUCCACCCUAACUGCCUGCCUGACUCGUUUCUUCCUUUCCCCUCUCAGUAAGGGAGAUGUUUCCUAUUAUCCUUGAUAAUGUGCCAUGAACAUAUGAAAAAACAUAGAAACAUGAAGAAAACAAGAAGACAAAAAUCACUAACAUCUGGUUGGCUGUAUAGAAACAAAGCUGAUUCUGCUUGCAAAUGGAUCUUACAGACGUUGUCACAGAGACAAGAAAAGCAUAUAAAAAAAUAAAUAAAGAUGAGCUCCUUUCAAGGUGACUGACUAGAAGCAGCUGGUGUGUGCUGCUCUCACAAAGAGAAGAAAGAGUGGUGAGUGGACCAUCCAGGUGGACACAUUGGGAUUCAUCAAGGAAACAAUACACAGAAAACAGAAGAAUGAGACAGGACAAUCAUUCACCCAGAAGUGGCAUAGAGCCGGGAGAUGGCCCUCACCAUGGUUAGUAAGUGAGAGUCCCCAGGGAGUCACAUUUCUGCCACAGACCUUUGCAACCCUGGGCCCAGGCGAUCCCCCAUGACACCCGUGCCCCACCAGGGCCUCUGGACUGACAUAGACAGCUACAUGGAGUGUGGGCAGAACUGCCACUCAGGCACUCAUGAAAUCCUUGGAGCUUUUCAUCCCCAGGCACCCUGGUACCAAUGGCUGCAGCUGCGGCAAUGGGGGAGGACAGGCUCUCUUGCAUGUCCUCAGAAUAGGAACACAAUCCAUGGGGCUAAGCAGUGGGUGGACUGUGGGGCUCUUCUACACAGCCCGUUGCCAGACUGGCCUGGGAUCCUAGCAUGGUCACAAAAGUCCCACCUGGGCUCUUGAGGAACAGAUCUGUACUUCCCUGGCAUGGAACUCCUGGAGGGGAUGGGCAGGCUGCUGUUUUUGCUGCUCCACAGCCCUCACUCCUGUUGCCCUCAGUCUUGGGAGUGAGCACAGUGAUUGGGGACUAACAUAGACCCCCAGCACAGUGUACAGACUUGCAGAAAAGCAGCCAGACUCUUUUCCACAUGGGUCCUCACCCCUGCUACUCUUCACUGGGCAGCACCUCUUGACCUUGGCCCCCAGCACAACCAACCCGCCCCCACAUGAACGCUUUGUCAGUGAUGGCUCUGUGUUUCUCUGAGGAGAAAAAUCCAAAAGACAAUCCAUAAGCCUUCUGCUAUUGCAGCUGCAGUGGUAUGGCCCUUACUACCUUCAGGCUGGGGAAAGAACGAAGGACUUGGUCCUUACACUGGCCCCUCCAGCACACCAUCGCCACCAUAUGGAGAAGAGCCCAGUCUCUCUUCCCCGUAAGCCCCCACUCACCACUGUUCACCAGGCAAGGCCCCUAGUUGGGGACAGCAGAGCAGCUGUCCUACCCCCGGAUGAGAAUUCCCACUGCUAUUGGCUCUAUAUUUUCCUGAGGUGGGCCUCCCAGAAGCAAUUGACAUCCCCUCUGUCACUGUCAUGGCAGCAGUUCUGCCCUUACUGCACUCAGACUGGGGAAAGAACAAACAGCCUGAGGUCUUCACUCACACUCCUAGCACAACACAGUCAUGAUAUGGAGAGGAGCCCAGUUGUUCCUCCUGGUGAGCCCUUGACCUCCUACUUUUCAUCAAGUGAAGCCUCCAGCUUGGGCUAGCAGCGUAGCCACCCCACCCACUGGCUGAACAUUCUCAGUAGCAAUGGCUUGCGUUUCUCUGAAGUAGGGCUCCCAGGGACAACGGAAAGCACCUCUCCCACUGCCACUGCAGCGGUACUGCCUUGCUGCCCUUGGACUGGGGAAGGGGCAGAGACCUUGAGUGCUUAACCCACAUGUCCAGGAAGUGACAGCUGCCCUAAGGAGAGGAGGCCAGUCUGUCUCCUCUGUGAGACCCCUGCCACCCUUGCGCAUCACCAGGCAGGGCCUCCAGGCAUGGGUUCACAAUGUAGCUGCCCCAAUCCCAAGCCCAUCUCUCCAAUUAGUAGUGGCUCUGCAUUUCUCUAGGGUGGAGCCCCAAGAGACAAGUGAAAGGCCCUCUGCCACAGCAACUGCCAAGGUCCCUUCCCCUGUUGCCUUCAAGCUGGGGAGGGAAAAUAAAGCCUUAGCUCGCCCCUAGCAGCAGUGUGCAGCCCAGGAGUGCCAAGGCCAGACCUUAAGCCAGCACUGGAGUGGGAAAGGGAGCCCACACUUUCAGAGCACUGAGAGGGAGCAUGGCUGCAAUCAUGAAGAAAUACAGAGGAGCCACGUGGUGGAGCAAGAGCCCACCUACUGGCCAUUACACUUCAGUGCCAUCUACUGGAUCAUAGCCCAAACUCCAACUCCAAAAAUGCUUGCUAAUAUACCCCCCUCUGUGAAAACAACGACAAGAUUUCAACAACAAAGACCCUGCACAAAACCUCGGCCCUCAAAAAACAUUCAAAAAAGGAGUCUGCACUCAAUUACACCACAGUUAAAGGAGCAUCAGCCCACACAGAUGAGAAAAAACUGGUGCAAGAGCUCUAACAACUAAACUACAGUGUUUUCUUUCCUCCAAAUAACUGUACUAGUUCCCAAGGAAGGGUUCUUAACCAGGCAGAAAGGGUGGAAAUGACAGAGAGAGAAUUCAAAAUAUGGAUAGGAAUAAAGGUCAUCAAGAUUCAGGAGAAAGUCAAAACCCAAUCCAAGGAAUCUAACAAUUACAAUAAAACAAUACAGGAGUUGAAAGACAAAAUGGCCAUUAUAAGAAAGAACCAAACUGAUCUGAUAGAGCUAAAAAACACACUAAAGAAUUCCUUAAUGUAAUUGCAAGUAUUAACAGCAGAAUAGACCAAGCUGAAGAAAGAAUCUCAGAGCUCACAGGCAACAUCUCUGAACUCAGUCAGACAAAAAUAAGAAUAAAGAAGAAUGAACAAAACCUCCGAGAAAUAUGGGAUUAUGUAGAGACCAAAUCUAUGACUCACUGGCAUCCUUGAAAGAGAGGAGGAGAAAGCAAGCAACUUGGAAAACAUAUUUCAGGAUAUCAUCUAUGAAGACUUCCCCAACAUCGCUAUGGAGAACAACAUUCAAAAUCAGGAAAUGCAGAAAAUCCCUGUGAGAUUCUAUAUAAGAAGACCAUCCACGAGCCACAUGGUCGUCAGAUUCUUCAAGGCCAAAACAAAAGAAAAAAUGUUAAAGGAAGCUAGAGAGAAGAGGCAGAUCACCUACAAAGGAAACCUCAUUAGGCUAACAGCAGAUCAUUCAGCAGAAAUCCCACAAGCCAGAAGAGAUUAGGAGUGUGUAUUCAGCAUUAUUAAGGAAAAGAAAUUUCAACCAAGAAUCUCAUAUCUAGCCAAACUUAGUUUCAUUAGCGAAGGAGAAAUAAGAUCCUAUUCAGACAAGCAAAUGCUAAGGGAAUUCAGUACCACCAGACAUGCUCUAUAAGAGAUCCUGAAGCAAGUGCCAAAUAUAGAACAGAAAGACUGUUACUGACCACUGCAAAAGCACACUAAAAACGUAGACCAUUGACACUGUAAAGCAACCACACAAAUAAAGCUGCAUAAUAACCAGCUAACAGCACAAUGACAGGAUCAAAUCAGCAAAUACCAAUAUUAACCUUGAAAGUGAAGGGGCUAAGUGCCCCAAUGAAAAGUCACAGAGUGGCAAGUUGGAUAAAGAGCAAGACCCUGGCCAGGCAGGUGACUCAUGCCUGUAAUCUCAGCACUUUGGGAAGCUGACACAGGUGAAUCAAGAAUUCAAGACCAGUCUGGCCAACAUGGUGAAACCCCAUCUCUAUUAAAAUACAAAAAUUAGCCCUGGACAUGGUGGUGCUCAUCUAUAGUCCCAGGUACUAGGGAGGCUGAGGCGGGCGGAUCAGUUGAACCCAGGAGGCAGAGGUUGCAGUGAGCUGAGAUCAUGCCACUGCGCUUCAGCCUAAAAAAAAAAAAAAAAAAAAAAAAAAAAAGCAUGAUCCAACUGUAUGCUGUCUUCAACAGACAUAUCUCACAUGGAUCCAUAGGCUUAAAGUAAAGGGAUGAAGAAAAAUCUACCAAGCCAAUGGAAAACAGAAAAUAGCUGGGGUUGACAGUCGAAUUUCAGUCAAAACAGACUUUAAACCAACAAUGAUCAAGAAAGACAAAGGAAGACAUUACAGAAUAGUAAAGGGUUCAAUACAACAGAAAGAUGUUACUAUUGUAAAUAUAUAUGCAUCCAACACAGGAGAAUCCAGAUUCAUAAAGCAAGUUCUUAGAGACCUAUGAAGAGAUGUAGAUAACUGGACAAUAAUAGUAGUAGACUUCAACACCCCACAGACAGUAUAUUACACAGAUCACUGAGGCAGAAAACUCACAAAAAUAUCCAGGAUUCAAACUCAACAUUGACCAAAUGGACUCAAUACACAUCUGUAGAACUCUCCACCAAACAACACCAGAAUAUAUAUUCUACUCAUCUGCACAGAGCACACACUGCAAAAGAGAAAACACAAUUAGCCAUAAAAUAAUCCUCAGGAAAUCAAAAACAAACAAACAAAAACAAAAUCAUACAAAUCACACUCUCAAACCACAGCACAAUAAAAAUAGAAAUUAUUACUUAAAAAACCCUCAAAACCAUAAAAUUACAUGGAAAUUUUUAAAAGCCCUGCUUUUGAAUGACCUUUGUAUAAACAAUAAAGUCAAAGCAGAAAUCAAGAAAUUUUUUGAAGUUAAGAAGAAUAAAGAUACAACAUACCAGAAUCUCUGAGACACAGUAAAAACAGCAUUAAGAGGGGUGUUUAUACUGCUAAAUGCCACAUCAAAAAGUUAGAAAGACCUCCAAUUAAUAAUCUCACAGCACACUUAGAAGAACUAGAGAAAUCAGAGCAAGCAACCUCAAAGCUAGCAGAAGACAAGGAUUAACAAAAAUCAAAGCUGAAUGGAAGGAUAUUGAGAAGCAGAAAACUGUACAAAAGUUCAACAAAUAUAAGAAUUGAUCCUUUGAAGGAAUAGAUUAGAUAGAUAGACCCCUAGUCAGAAUAAUAAAGAAAAAAGGGGGAAGAUCCAAAUAAACAAAAUCAGAAAUGACAAAGGUGAACACUACCACUAACCCUACAAAAAUACAAAAAGCCCCUAGAAACUACUGUGAACACCUAAAUGCACACGACAUAGAAAACCUAGAAGAAACUGAUAAAUUCCUGAAAACAUACAACCUCCCAAUAUUGCACCAAGAAGAAAUUAAAACCCUGAACAGACCAAUAAUGAGUUCUGAAAUUUAAUCAGUAAUAAAAAGCCUACCAACCAGAAAAAUCCCAGGACCAGAUGGAUUCACAGAUGAAUUCUACCAGACAUAUUAAGAAGACCUGGUAUAAUCCCUACUGUGAAUAUUCCAAAACAUUUAGGAGGAAGAAUUCCUCUCUAAUUCAUUCUAUGAGCCCAGCAUCCUUCUGAUACCAAAACUUGGCAGACAAACAACAAUAAAGAAAACUACAAGCCAAUAUUCCUGAUGAACAAAGAUGUAAAAAUCCUCAACAAAAUAUUAGCAAACUGAAUUCAGCAGCACAUUGAAAAGCUAAAUGACCACAAUCUCUUAAGCUUUAUUCUUGGGAGGCAAGAAUUGGUUCCAUAGAGGCAAAUCAAUCAAUGUAAUUCAUUAUAUAAACAAAACUAGAAACAAAAAUCACAUGAUCAUCUCAAUAGAUGCAGAAAGGGCUUUUGAUAAAAUUCAAUGUCCCUUCAUGUUAAAAACUCUCAACAAAGUAAGCAUCAAAGGCACAUACUCAAAUAAUAAGAGCCAUUUAUGAAAAAUUCACAGCCAACAUCAUCCAGAAUGGGCAAAAGCUGGAAGCAUUCCGCUUGAAAACUAAAACAAGACAAGAAUGCCCUCUCUUAUUAUUUUUAUUAAACAUACUACUGGAAGUCCUAAGCAGAAUAAUUGGCCAAAAGAAAAGAAAAAAAAGCAUCCAAAUGGGAUAAUAGAAAGUCAAAUAAUCCCCUUUUGCAGACGAUAUGAUUCUAUACCUAGAAAACCAAAUAGUCCCUACCCAAAACCUCCUUGAUUUGAUAAACAAUUUCAGCAAUGUUUCAGAAUUCAAAAUUAGUGUUCAAAAAGUAGCAUUCCUAUAUAGCAACAAUAUCCAAGCUGAGAGCCAAAUCAAGAACACAAUCGCAUUCACAAUGGCCAUAAAAACAAUAAAAUACCCAGGAAUAUAGCUACGCAGGGAGGUGAAACGUGUUUACAAUGAGAAUUACAAAACACUGCUCAAAUAAAUCAGAGAUGAUGCAAACAAAUGGAAAAUCCCCCCAUGCUUAUGGAUAAGAAGCAUCAAUAUUGUUAAAAUGGCCAUAAUGUCCAGAGCAAUUUACAGACUCAAUGCUUUUCCUAUCAAACUACUAAUGACAUUUUUCACAGAACUAGAAAAAAAAAACUAUUUUAAAAUUCAUGUAGAACCAAAAAAGAUCCCAAAUAGCAGGCAAUAGUAAGCAAAAAGAAAAAUGCUAGAAGCAUCCUGUUACCCAACUUUAAACUAUACUACAAGGCUACAGUAACCAAACAUCAUGGGUUUGGUACAAAAAUAGAAAUGUAAAUCAAUGGAACAGAAUAGAGAGCUCAGAAAUAAUGCCACACGCCUACAACCAUUUAGAUUACCUUUGACAAAGCUGACAAAAACAAGCAAUGGGGAACGGAGUCCCUAUGCGAUAAAUGGUGUGGGAUAACUGACUAGCCAUAUGCAGAAGAUUGAAACUGGAUCCCUUCCUUACACCAUAUACACAAAUCAAUUCAAGAUGGAUUGAAGACUUAAAUGUAAAACAUAAGACUAUUAAGAUGCUGGAAGAUAAUCUAGGAAAUAGCAUUCUGGGCAUAGGCCCUAGCAAAGAUUUCAUGACAAAGAUACAAAAAGCAAUUGUAAAAACAACAACAAAAAACGGACACAUGAGACCUAAUUAAAGAGUUUCAGCACAGCAAAAGAAACUACCAACAGAAUGAUAUGAUUUGACUCUGUGUCCCCACCCAAUUCUCAUGUCAAAUUAUAGUUUUCUCAGUGUUGGAGGAGGGGCCUGGUGGGAGGUGAUUGGAUCAUAGGGGCAAACAUCCCCCUUGCUGUUCUCAUGACAGUGAGUUCUUAUGAGAUCUGGUGGUUUAAAAGUGUGUGGCACUUACCCCUUCACUCUCUUCUUCCUGCUUCUGUCAUGUAAGAUGUGUCUUCUUCCUCUUCACUUUCCACCAUGAUUGUAAGUUUCCUGAGACCUCCCCAGCCAUGUUUCCUGUACAGCCUGCAGAACUAUAAGUCAAUUAAACCUCUUUUCUUUAUAAAUUACUCAGUCUCAGGUAGUUCUUUAUAGCAACACAAGGAUAGACAAAUACAUAGAGUAAACACACAACCUGUAGAAUGGUGAAAAAUAUUUGCAAACUAUGCAUUCAAAAAAGGUGUAAUAUCUAGAAUCAAUAAGAAACUUAAACAAAUUAACAAGCAAAAAACAACCCCAUUAAAGAGUGGGCAAAGACACUACUCAAAAGAAGACAUACAUGUGACCAACAAGCAUAUAAAAAAUUCUUAAUGUCACUAAUCAUUAGAGAAAUGCAAAUCAAAACCACAGUGAGAUACCAUCUCACACCUGUCAGAAGGACUAUUAUUAAAAAGUCAAAAAAUAACAGUUGCAGCUAAGGUUGUGGAGAAAAGGGAGCACUUACACACUGUUGCUGGGAACAUAAAUUAGUUUAGCCAUUGCAGAAAGCAGUUCAGAGAUCUCUCAAAGAACUUAACACAGAAUGAAUGACCAGUUGAUCCAACAAUUCCAUUAUUGGGUAUGUACUGAAAGGAAUAUAAAUCAUUCCACCAUAAAGACACAUUUAUGCAUAAGUUCACUGCAGCACUAAUUACAAUUGCAAAGACAUGGAAUCAACCUAGAUGACCAUUAAUAGUGCACUGGAUAAAGAAAAAGUGAUAAAUAUACACCAUGGAAUAGUAUGCAGUUAUAAAAAAGCAUGAAAUCAUGUCUUUUUCAGAAACAUGUAUGCUGCAGGAGACCAUUAUCUUAAGCAAACUAAAGUAGAAACAGAGAACAAAAUACCACGUUCUCAUUUAUAAAUGGAAGCUAACCAUUCAGAACACAUGGACACAAGGAAGAGAAUGUUAGACACCAAGGCCUACUUAAGUGACGACAGUGAGAGUGGGGAAAGGAUUGAAAAACUGCCUAUUGGGUACUAUGCUUAUUACCUGGGUGACAAAAUAAUCUAUACCUCAAAACUUCAUGACAUGCUAUUUACCUAGAUAACAAACCUGUUCAUGUACCCUUGAACCUAAAAUAAAAGUUUAAAAUAAUCCUGAAAGUAGGUAACUAAAGUUUAGAGAAAAACUAUAAAGGAGAUCAAGAGAUAAUCUAGUUAAUGGAACUGAAAUAAAAAGUAUUCAAAAUAACUCCACUUAUAUAUUAUAAAAUU